GACGAACGCUGGCGGCGUGCUUAACACAUGCAAGUCGAACGGAAAGGCCCUGCUUUUGUGGGGUGCUCGAGUGGCGAACGGGUGAGUAACACGUGAGUAACCUGCCCUUGACUUUGGGAUAACUUCAGGAAACUGGGGCUAAUACCGGAUAGGAGCUCCUGCUGCAUGGUGGGGGUUGGAAAGUUUCGGCGGUUGGGGAUGGACUCGCGGCUUAUCGGCUUGUUGGUGGGGUAGUGGCUUACGAAGGCUUUGACGGGUAGCCGGCCUGAGAGGGUGACCGGCCACAUUGGGACUGAGAUACGGCCCAGACUCCUACGGGAGGCAGCAGUGGGGAAUAUUGCACAAUGGGCGGAAGCCUGAUGCAGCAACGCCGCGUGCGGGAUGACGGCCUUCGGGUUGUAAACCGCUUUCGCCUGUGACGAAGCGUGAGUGACGGUAAUGGGUAAAGAAGCACCGGCUAACUACGUG
This 468-nucleotide ribosomal RNA is filed under the name uncultured bacterium. Its description in RNAcentral is "partial 16S ribosomal RNA". It matches the Rfam family "Bacterial small subunit ribosomal RNA", at positions 28 to 507 of the family's 1533-position model. The record is from RNAcentral.